Molecule: ribosomal RNA, 992 nt
Filed under: SAR86 cluster bacterium SAR86D
Lineage: Bacteria; Pseudomonadati; Pseudomonadota; Gammaproteobacteria
Description: bacterial SSU rRNA
Rfam family: Bacterial small subunit ribosomal RNA
Source: RNAcentral
GACACGGCCCAGACUCUACGGGAGGCAGCAGUGGGGAAUAUGGACAAUGGCGCAAGCUGAUCCAGCCAUACCGCGUGUGUGAAGAAGGCUUCGGGUUGUAAAGCACUUUAAGCAGGGAGAAAAAGUUAUAAGUUAAUACCUUAUAACCCUGAUGUUACUGCAGAAUAAGCACCGGCUAAUUCCGUGCCAGCAGCCGCGGUAAUACGGAAGGUGCAAGCGUUAAUCGGAAUUACUGGGCGUAAAGCGCGCGUAGGUGGUUUGUUAAGUUGGAUGUGAAAGCCCUGGGCUCAACCUAGGAACUGCAUCCAAAACUAACUCACUAGAGUACGAUAGAGGGAGGUAGAAUUCAUAGUGUAGCGGUGGAAUGCGUAGAUAUUAUGAAGAAUACCAGUGGCGAAGGCGGCCUCCUGGAUCUGUACUGACACUGAGGUGCGAAAGCGUGGGUAGCGAACAGGAUUAGAUACCCUGGUAGUCCACGCCGUAAACGAUGACAACUAGCUGUUGGGAGACUAUGUCUUUCAGUGGCGCAGCUAACGCUUUAAGUUGUCCGCCUGGGGAGUACGGCCGCAAGGCUAAAACUCAAAUGAAUUGACGGGGACCCGCACAAGCGGUGGAGCAUGUGGUUUAAUUCGAUGCAACGCGAAAAACCUUACCUACUCUUGACAUACUUGGGAGCUCUUGUAAUGAGAGUGUGCCUUAUGGAACCAAGAUACAGGUGCUGCAUGGCUGUCGUCAGCUCGUGUCGUGAGAUGUUCCGUUAAGUCGGAUAACGAGCGCAACCCUUACCCUUAUUUGCCAGCGAUUCGGUCGGGAACUAUAAGGGGACUGCCGGUGAUAAACCGGAGGAAGGUGAGGACGACGUCAAGUCAUCAUGGCCCUUACGAGUAGGGCUACACACGUGCUACAAUGGGGAAUACAGACGGACGCUAAGCCGCGAGGUGGUGCUAAUCCUAGAAAGUUUCUCGUAGUCCGGAUUGGAGUCUGCAACUCGA